UACAGAGGGGGCUAGCGUUGUUCGGAAUCACUGGGUGUAAAGGGUGCGUAGGCGGUUAGUUAAGUCUGAUGUGAAAUCCCUCGGCUCAACUGGGGAACUGCAUUGGAAACUGGCUAGCUAGAGUACCGGAGAGGGAAUCGGAAUUCCUGGUGUAGCGGUGAAAUGCGUAGAUAUCUGGAGGAACACCGGUGGCGAAGGCGGCGUUCUGGACUGCAACUGACACUGAGGAACGAAAGCCAGGGGAGCAAACGGG
RNAcentral lists this ribosomal RNA (253 nucleotides) under uncultured bacterium. Its description in RNAcentral is "partial 16S ribosomal RNA". It matches the Rfam family "Bacterial small subunit ribosomal RNA", at positions 524 to 776 of the family's 1533-position model. The record is from RNAcentral.